GCAAAGGAGUCAGUAGACAUAAAAUAUACACUAGUUUACGGAACGUGUGCUUCCAUGUAUCUGUGUGGGGCAGGAUGAACAAUGGCCUCAAUUGCUCGAGAGUCUGUGUCGCUGGAUGAGCUGUAGCAUAAUGGUGGAAGCCCUUUCCUCUUUAGAGAAGAAAACAGCGGUUGGAUAGAGGCAACAGCAGCAGGCGAGUCUGUGCCGACACAUGGACUCACAUUGUCACACGGAUUUUAAGCUUUUCUGUCAGAUGGGAUCCUCCAGCAGCUCAGUGGAACAGCCUUUCUGGACACUGCUGAUCUAAAUCAAAGUGUUACUCCUCUUUUAACAUGAAAUCCAAAUAUUGGUCAUGCCUCCCC
Molecule: long non-coding RNA, 362 nt
Organism: Hirundo rustica (Barn swallow)
Lineage: Eukaryota; Metazoa; Chordata; Aves; Passeriformes; Hirundinidae
Exons: 3
Source: RefSeq, a predicted model, not a curated record